UGGGGAAUAUUGGACAAUGGGCGAAAGCCUGAUCCAGCCAUGCCGCGUGUGUGAAGAAGGUCUUCGGAUUGUAAAGCACUUUAAGUUGGGAGGAAGGGCAUUAACCUAAUACGUUAGUGUUUUGACGUUACCGACAGAAUAAGCACCGGCUAACUCUGUGCCAGCAGCCGCGGUAAUACAGAGGGUGCAAGCGUUAAUCGGAAUUACUGGGCCUAAAGCGCGCGUAGGUGGUUUGUUAAGUUGGAUGUGAAAUCCCCGGGCUCAACCUGGGAACUGCAUUCAAAACUGACUGACUAGAGUAUGGUAGAGGGUGGUGGAAUUUCCUGUGUAGCGGUGAAAUGCGUAGAUAUAGGAAGGAACACCAGUGGCGAAGGCGACCACCUGGACUAAUACUGACACUGAGGUGCGAAAGCGUGGGGAGCAAACA
Molecule: ribosomal RNA, 427 nt
Filed under: uncultured bacterium
Lineage: Bacteria
Description: partial 16S ribosomal RNA
Rfam family: Bacterial small subunit ribosomal RNA
Source: RNAcentral